AGCGAACGCUGGCGGCAGGCUUAACACAUGCAAGUCGAACGAUCCUUCGGGAUAGUGGCGGACGGGAGAGUAACACGUGGGAACGUACCCUUCAGUUCGGAACAACCCAGGGAAACCUGGGCUAAUACCGGAUACGUCCGUAAGGAGAAAGAUUUAUCGCUGAAGGAUCGGCCCGCGUCUGAUUAGCUAGUUGGUGAGGUAAUGGCUCACCAAGGCGACGAUCAGUAGCUGGUCNGAGAGGAUGAUCAGCCACACUGGGACUGAGACACGGGCCCGACUCCUACGGGAGGCAGCAGUAAGGAAUAUUGGUCAAUGGACGCAAGUCUGAACCAGCCAUGCCGCGUGAAGGAUGAAGGUCCUCUGGAUUGUAAACUUC
RNAcentral lists this ribosomal RNA (376 nucleotides) under uncultured bacterium. RNAcentral's name for it is "bacterial SSU rRNA". It matches the Rfam family "Bacterial small subunit ribosomal RNA", at positions 29 to 433 of the family's 1533-position model. The record is from RNAcentral.